RNAcentral lists this unclassified non-coding RNA (352 nucleotides) under soil metagenome. RNAcentral's name for it is "partial contains 5.8S ribosomal RNA, internal transcribed spacer 2, and large subunit ribosomal RNA". The stretch from base 1 to 120 matches the Rfam family "5.8S ribosomal RNA", at positions 35 to 154 of the family's 154-position model. The record is from RNAcentral.
GAUGAAGAACGUAGUGAAAUGCGAUAAGUAAUGUGAAUUGCAGAAUUCAGUGAAUCAUCGAAUCUUUGAACGCACAUUGCGCCCGCCAGUAUUCUGGCGGGCAUGCCUGUUCGAGCGUCAUUACAACCCUCAGGCCCCCGGGCCUGGCGUUGGGGAUCGGCGGAGCCCCCCGUGGGCACACGCCGUCCCCCAAAUGCAGUGGCGGUCCCGCCGCAGCUUCCAUCGCGUAGUAGCUAACACCUCGCGACUGGAGAGCGGCGCGGCCACGCCGUAAAACACCCAACUCUUCCGAAGUUGACCUCGAAUCAGGUAGGAAUACCCGCUGAACUUAAGCAUAUCAAUAAGCGGAGGA